UAUUGAAUGGUGAUUGAUUGUUUGAUUGAAAUGAUGAUGUGGAGUGGGCCAUAUUAAUUCUAAUUAUAAUAUAAGUUAGAGUUAAUUACAUACAGAUUCCUACAAAUAUAAUGAAUUGCAAAUAUAUCCUUACAAAUUUUAUUUUUCAUAUAUUGUAUAUGCAAAAGUUCUGAUACUUUCAAAUAUGUCCUUAUAUUAGAAUCUGUUAGAAAAUUUUAGUUAAUCAUGAUUAGUUAAUGAGGUAAAUUUAUCUUUUCACCCCUUUUCAAUUAAGGGUCGGGAUUUUUGAAGGGACAUAUUUGUGACGACAAAAAGAUUAUUUUACUUAUAAAAUAAACAGUAUUUUAACGGUAACAAACUAGAGGAACAUAUUUGAAAAUAUUAGUACUUUUAUAACGAUAAUCAAUAAAAGUUGAACUUAGUAGGAAUAUAUUUGCAAAUCACAAUGUUUGCAGGAAUCUAUAUGAAAUUAACCCUAAAAGUAUAUAAGUUAAUACUACAGUUCUAUAAUAAUUACUUUUAUAGUAACAGGUUCAUGAACCUUAAUUUAGUAGAAUAAUGGGCUAAGAGCGUGUUUGUUUAGAUUGAAGUCUGAUGCGGAAGUCGUGAGUUCAUAUAACUCGAGAUCGUCAGUGUCCAGAGGUAACGUCGACUUUCGAUUCUCGUGCAGCGCAGAGUUCAAGUCACUACAACAGAAUUAGAUUAUAGGGACACAUGUUUAGAAUAAUUUUAUAUAAGUGUUCAAUUUAUGUCAAAACUUUAAAAAAAAAUCUACUAAUGUCUAAAUAUAAAGUCCAAUCCAACAAAAAAUAAAAGGCUACUCUACUCAACCCACCCCACCCAGCCCAUUCGGUCCGAUUACAAACAGAAAAAAAAAAGUAAAGAAAAAUCGAUUACCACUUCCCCUUCUCCCCUCACUCAAUCGACUGAAAUCCUAGACGAAGAUCCCUUCCUCUCGUCCUCCUCUGCCACCGCAGCCAACAAGGUAGAGUUCCGGCGGUUGCUAAAUGCUUAAAUAAAUAUUGAUAAAUUAGCAGCACUUUUUUAAAUUAUAGCGACACUUUUUAAUUGUCACUAUAUAUCUAGCGACCCCGCAUAUAGCAACACUUUUUAAAAGUGUCGGUAAUUUAGCCAGCAGCACUUUUUUUUGACCUGUACCGGCAUUUAAAAGUGUUGCUAUAAACCGUUUUUGUUGUAGAUAUAUGGUGCGAACUCGUUACUCUGCGCUCGUCACGUGCGAAGUCGAGUUC
RNAcentral lists this long non-coding RNA (1250 nucleotides) under Ananas comosus (pineapple). RNAcentral describes it as "long non-coding RNA (ACOM_LNC000874)". The record is from RNAcentral. Lineage: Eukaryota; Viridiplantae; Streptophyta; Magnoliopsida; Poales; Bromeliaceae.